This 378-nucleotide ribosomal RNA is filed under the name uncultured bacterium. RNAcentral describes it as "bacterial SSU rRNA". It matches the Rfam family "Bacterial small subunit ribosomal RNA", at positions 523 to 898 of the family's 1533-position model. The record is from RNAcentral.
AUACAUAGGGGGCGAGCGUUGUCCGGAAUGACUGGGCGUAAAGGGUGUGUAGGCGGCCAGAUAAGUUGGAAGUGUAAUACCUAGGGCUUAACCCAGGUGCUGCUUCCAAAACUAUAUGGCUUGAGUGCAGGAGAGGUAAGUGGAAUUCCUAGUGUAGCGGUGGAAUGCGUAGAUAUUAGGAGGAACAUCAGUGGCGAAGGCGACUUACUGGACUGUAACUGACGCUGAGGCACGAAAGCGUGGGGAGCAAACAGGAUUAGAUACCCUGGUAGUCCACGCCGUAAACUAUGGAUACUAGAUGUAGGGGGUAUCGACUCCCUCUGCGUCGCAGCAAACGCAAUAAGUAUCCCGCCUGGGGAGUACGGCCGCAAGGUUGAA